GUUGUGCAGCAAUAAAUAGCUAAUAUACAAUAUUUCCACUGAGAAGUUAACUGUUAUUUUGAACUCUGAAUCUCAUAUAGACCAGUGUUCACUUUAUCUUACUCUCUCUCUCUCCUCUCUCUCACUCUCUGUCUCUGAAAUUUCUUCAGAUUUUUUAUUUGUUUCUGGUGCUCUUACUUUUCACAAUGUUGGAACUUAUUGAUGGUUCUGUCUGUGUCUAUUGGGCUGGACAUGCUUUAGGAUCUUUUAUAACCUGUACUCAGUUUGAGUAGUUUCUUGGGUUGAUUCCGUUUUGAUUUUCUCAUUUCUUUGGAAAUUUAUAAUUUUAAAAUUUUGGACCACUGAGAACAUUUUUAAAUUGUCUUAAUCUAACUUUCCACUUCUAUUCUUUUGCCUAUUCUUCUUAGAUAAUUUUUACACUUUAUUUUCAAGCCCUUCUAUUAAUAUUUUUAUUUCUGCUGUGUUAUUUCUAAGACUUACAGAUUUUAUAAUGCUAUUUUUUAGCAUCUCUCCUAUUUUGUGGAUAUGUCAUCUUUUCUCUCUGAAUAUGAUAAUGAGGCUUUCAUUUGUUUUCUAAGUUUUUAUAUCCCUAGGUAUUUACUGUUUUGAUAAUUUUUUCUUCCCUGUUUGUUUGCUUUGCUUUUUUCUUCCAAGAUAAAGCCUGGAAGCUGCACGUCACCUGCCAGCUUUGUGUGUGCCCAGUGAGGUGGCAUAAUGACCAGCGGUGACUUGAAUGACAAGGGGACAGAACAGCUGGACAAUCCAAUUCCUAGAUGCUUUCUCCAGUUAUGGCCCUGACUGGGAUCUCCGAAGAAUGACUCAGCUGAAACUGUCAGUGAGGAUGCUUACCUGUGGUCUCCCCAUCAUGGUGGUAUCAGGGUUGUUGAACACCUUACAUGGCUCCAAAAGCAAGUGUUCUGGAAUGUAAGGCAACAGCUGUGUGGUCUUUCAUAAUCCAGCAUCAGAAGUCACAUGGCAUCACUCCUGCUAAAAUUUCUUUGUGGAAGCAGCCACAAAACUGCCCAAAUUCAAGUAGAGGGCACACAGAUCUUAUUUUUUGAUGGGAGGACUCACAAAAAUUUUGCCACCAUAUUAUAAAAACACUAUAAGAUCUAAUAGUAACUUUAACUUUUUUUAACCAAUCCUUCUAUUUUCAGCCCAGACUUCACUUCCUUAUUCAGAUGUAUAAAUGUCUUCUGUGGCUUUGUGAUCAAAUCUGAAUGUUUCUUGGAUUUACCCCUGCCAGCUAAGGAUUUGGCCUUCUUUGAUCUGUUAAAUCAGUUCUCAAACACUGACUUGUUUUCCAUCUAAAAUAUCAGGGUGACCUUUAUCCCAUUCUCAUUGCUUUGAGGAUUUUGUGCCCCCUUUUUUAAAGUCACUUUCUAUGUAUUUUUAUAUGAGUGAGGUUUUGGGAGAAAGUACAGAUAAAUAUAUAUUCUCAAUCUACCACUUUAAUUGAAAAUUCUUGUUUUUUCUUUUACAAAAUUCCUAAUGUUUGCCUAACAAACAUUUAUUGAGAAACUGCUGUAUUUUCAGUAUGUGUUAAGGUCUGUGUACAUCUAUUUUAUAUACAUUAUCUUAUUUAAUAUGCUCAUUUAAUUUCCACAUCUUGUUUAACAUUUAUAAUCUUUUGAUUUGUUAAAUACAAUUUGUAGAAGACCAUUGGUUUAGCGUGAGCUGCACCAGGCCUGGCAGACCAAACCAAAAUGUAGUAUCUCAUACUAAAGUUCCAUGCCACCAAGCUGAAACUAAGUUGUUUAUCUGACUUUCCAAGAAGUCAGGAGAAAGAGAUAACAGUCAAAUCCCCAAAUAUGCUAGUUUGAGUUGGCAUGAUAGGAAAGUUCCUUCCACUUUAGCCUUUAUACGAAAGUAACUUUGGAAUGAUCAGUCUGCUUUUUGUUUCCUGUUUCUGUUUCAGCACUUUUUGUAAAGCCAACUUCUUCUCAGCACAUCAGAACACUCAUUCUACUUUAUAGAAUGAGGUAUAAUCUGAAUCUAAAAUCACAAAUAAAAGCCAAUUAAGAUUUUUAAAGUAAGUUUGUUGUAAUUUUGUCUUUUGACAGAUUUCAUCAUUGCCUACAUUUGUCUUCAGACGACCUGCAGUACAAACUUGGCUUAAACCUGCAGUUGACAAUGGAUUCACCGUGGGAGAAUAAAUUACAAUGGAUAAAAAACAGCAUUACAAUCCCUCAAUAAAAUGGGAUUUUAACAGACAAAGCUCCUGGUAUGUGGUCGUUCUCAGGCCCAAAGGCCCAUUUUGCUUUUGGCUGCAACUCUGUAACUCUGUAACAGAGACCAAGUGCCUGCAGGGAGCAGAUGUUUGGGGCAGUAUCUGCUAAGGUGGCUUUGCUGAAACUUGUUUCUCUCAUUGGGUCUUGGAAGUGGCGAAUAGGACGUUCCUAUAGAAAAACUCAGAAAGAGACUGUGAAAGAUAAUCUUAAAGAGGCACUCACGAAACACAAGCUCCUUCUCCGGGAAAAAGAAUCAUCACCCUUGUUAUCCCAUGAAAAUUCAUCUUCUCCUUUUCAGCUGAUAUGAGGACUUGAUCUGUCCUUUCCUAUAAGUGCCAUCUGUGUUUAAAUGAGGCUGUUACUCUAACUCAAAGCAGACUUGCAAGAGUAAAAUAAUCAAUCUUCAUCAUAUUGCUGCACUUUCGACAGUUAAUUUUCUAGAGUAAUUUGUCAUUGUGAGGAGCAUAAGAUUUGUCUGAAUUUGUGUCAAAGGUUAUUGACUGAAUUGCCACCUCAUCUUUUCAGUCAAUCUAUAAAUAUGGGCAAGUUUGGGCAGAGGCUAAUGGCCUUCUCACUAAGGGGAUGAGAUUGUCCAAGUUAGGCAACUGAUAAGAGGUAGAAAUAUCUAUUGUGUCACCCAUUUCUUGUGGUAGCAUUGACUUAGAGUUAAUCUCAGAAACUUCACUUAACCUUCUUAAUCCUUUUCUUCCUGUAAAACAAGGCUAAAAAUUGUCAUAACUAUAUUCUAGUUUCCACAAAAGCUAAUCUAAGUAUUAAAAUUUUUAUUGUGACUUUGUGAGAGUGAUCCUGUAUUUUUCACAAAACUAAGAAGAAAAUAUUUUUAUUUAGUGUUUUUCUAUGAAUAGCUUUUGGUUUUUGGAAAAACCAUCUGAUCUUUAUUACUAAGAUUCUUGCUUCUUAGGUCAAAUUCUUGUUCCCUGUCUUUAUAUAGAGUCUAAUAUUGGGAACAUACCCAAGGACCACAUGGAUAAUUUUAUGAUGCUUGCUGACUAUUAUGUUUCUUGCCCACUUUAAUAGCCUAAUAAUAAUAGUUACGAAUUCUUAUUGAGAAAUAGCCAUUCUUAAUCAAUGCCAAUGACAGUGUUUCCUCUUUCAGACUGAAGGAAAAACAGGGAGAAAACCAGUUCAUAUAUUAUGGUUAAACACUGAUAAAACAUUUUGGUUAAAUAUCUGCCUUCAUGGGUUAUUGCAAAAUAGAUUAGUUUAAAGCUCAUCUAGCCCUGAAAUAUACAGUUAGAUUAUUUUUUAUGGAUUUCAAUUAUUUUUAUUUCAUUACAGUUAUUUUUUUUUCAAUACAUGGCCUGUUUGAAGAUACAUCAUAGUAAUGGUAACAGCAGCAACCACUGCAGUAAAUAACUGACAAUUGCUGAACAAUUCAUGUCUGCCAUGCCAUGCUAUGAGGGCCUUAAGGAAUAAAUACAACUUAUAUUCAUAAUAAACAUAGGAGGUUGUAGAAGGCUAAAUAAUGGGUCACCAAAGAUACCCACAUCCCAUAAUUCCUGUAACUGGUGACUAUGUUACCUUGCAUGGUAGAAGGGAUUUUGCAGUUGAGGUUAAGGUUAAAGACUUUAUAAAGGCAGAUUAUCUUGGAUUAUCUGGGUGGGUCUUUAAAAGCGGAAGAGAAAAGCAGAAAAGCAAGUCAGACAGACAGAUGCAACUACAGAAGAGACAGUAGGGACUCAACUCAAAUGACUAACUUUGAAGAUGGAGGAGGUGGUCCAUGAGGCAAGGAAUGCACUUGCUUCUAGAAGCUGGGAAUAACCCACAGCUAGAAGCAAAGUAGGAAAUGGAAGUCUCAAUUCUACAUCGUAAGGAAGUGAAUUCUGCCAAUAACUUGAAAGAGAAGGAAAUAGAUUCCCUCCAGAGGCUCUAGAAAAUAAUGUAUCCCUGCUGACACCUUAAUUUGAUUUGAGCCCCAUGAGACCCACGUUGGACUUCUGACUUAUGGAGCUUGUAAGAUAAUAAAUUUGCAUUGUUUCAGCCACUACAUUUGUGGAAAUUUGUUACAACCACAAUAGGAAACUCAUAGAAUAGUAAUCACUAGUAAUAUCUUCAUUUAACAGUUGAGGAAAUUGAGGCAGGACAACACAAGUUAUAAAAAUUAUCUCAGUUCUUAGUAGAGUUCCUGGCAUAUGACAAGCAGUUAAUGUCUUUGUAGAAUGAAUGAAUGAAUAAAUAAAUAGAUUUUUUCUUAUGCUUUCCCAAA
RNAcentral lists this long non-coding RNA (4458 nucleotides) under Homo sapiens (human). RNAcentral describes it as "HSALNT0319393". Lineage: Eukaryota; Metazoa; Chordata; Mammalia; Primates; Hominidae. The record is from RNAcentral.